This 256-nucleotide ribosomal RNA is filed under the name uncultured bacterium. RNAcentral's name for it is "partial 16S ribosomal RNA". The record is from RNAcentral.
CUGCUGCCUCCCGUAGGAGUCUGGGCCGUGUCUCAGUCCCAGUGUGGCUGGUCGUCCUCUCAGACCAGCUACUGAUCGUUGCUUUGGUGAGCCGUUACCUCACCAACCGGCUAAUCAGUCAUCGGCCGCUCCGCUCGCGAGAGGCCCUUGCGGGUCCCCCUCUUUCUUCCGUAGAACUCAUGCGGUAUUAGCCAACCUUUCGGCUGGUUGUCCCCCCACGAGCGGACACGUUCCCGAUGUAUUACUCACCCGUUCG